GACGAACGCUGGCGGCGUGCCUAAUACAUGCAAGUCGAGCGAAGUUUUUCUGGUGCUUGCACCGGAAAAACUUAGCGGCGAACGGGUGAGUAACACGUAAAGAACCUGCCUCAUAGACUGGGACAACUAUUGGAAACGAUAGCUAAUACCUGAUAACAGCAUUAACUGCAUGGUUGAUGUUUAAAAGUUGGUUUUGCUAACACUAUGAGAUGGCUUUGCGGUGCAUUAGCUAGUUGGUGGGGUAAAGGCCUACCAAGGCGACGAUGCAUAGCCGACCUGAGAGGGUGAUCGGCCACACUGGGACUGAGACACGGCCCAGACUCCUACGGGAGGCAGCAGUAGGGAAUCUUCCGCAAUGGGCGAAAGCCUGACGGAGCAACGCCGCGUGAGUGAAGAAGGAUUUCGGUUCGUAAAGCUCUGUUGUUAGGGAAGAAUGAUUGUGUAGUAACUAUACACAGUAGAGACGGUACCUAACCAGAAAGCCACGGCUAACUACGUG
This 499-nucleotide ribosomal RNA is filed under the name uncultured bacterium. RNAcentral describes it as "partial 16S ribosomal RNA". It matches the Rfam family "Bacterial small subunit ribosomal RNA", at positions 28 to 507 of the family's 1533-position model. The record is from RNAcentral.